GAGGAUGAAACACACAUAUUUAGAUAGUGUACAUGUGCAAGGGCAAAGGGUGAUCGCAACACACAAAUGAAGUUCUCAUAAUCGGAUUGCAUAUGGUUGGAAAAAUGAGUAUGGAUCAAUCCUUAAUCUUGAGAGCACUGGGAACUUUAAUGAGGCUCAAAAAACUUAGGAUCAUUUUAUUCUUUUUCUCCUUUAUUUUUUUAUUUUUCCAUUCCUUUUUCUUUUCUUUCUUCUUUCUUUCUUUUACCUCAUUUUUUUCUUUUCGCUC
RNAcentral lists this long non-coding RNA (268 nucleotides) under Setaria viridis. RNAcentral describes it as "long non-coding RNA (SVIR_LNC003430)". Lineage: Eukaryota; Viridiplantae; Streptophyta; Magnoliopsida; Poales; Poaceae. The record is from RNAcentral.